GCCUGUGUGGCUCAAUUGGUUAGAGCAUGUGGCUCUUAUUCAAGAUCUACCACAAGGCUGUGGGUUCGAGUCCCACCACAGGCU
This is a non-coding RNA of Glutinoglossum americanum, 84 nucleotides long. NCBI's taxonomy places the organism in Eukaryota, Fungi, Ascomycota, Geoglossomycetes, Geoglossales, Geoglossaceae. The record is from the annotation of a GenBank genome assembly.